Molecule: long non-coding RNA, 514 nt
Organism: Rosa chinensis
Lineage: Eukaryota; Viridiplantae; Streptophyta; Magnoliopsida; Rosales; Rosaceae
Exons: 3
Source: RefSeq, a predicted model, not a curated record
CUCAUAUGCUUCAACAUCACUGGAAAGGCUGGAGAAAGCAAAACACAUAGCAACAAGUCGAACAGCGAACAAUGGAGAGCAGUGAAGAAGAGGACGAUCUCCCACUCAUAGAGAGCAUCACUUCCCAGUCCAAAGUCGACUUUCUUAACCAAUCCCACGCCGAAAAGGGAAUUAUAACCUAUACAUACUCGUAUAUAUCUCCCGCUUUUGCUGUGACAUGCGCUCAGAACUGGAGCCUGGAGCCUCAAGUCUGAAGCCUGAAGAGAGCAAAGCUAAAGCAGUCUUAAAAUGGAGAGUAGUGAAGGAGAAGAGGUUUCCUAUCAUUAAAGGCAUCACUCCCCUGUCCAAAGUUGACUCUUUUUACCAAUCCCACACCGAAAAGGUUUGCUCCAUCCCCUGAUCCAUCACUAAGUAUUGAGUUUUAUGAGCAAACUCCAGAGCAACAAUCAGUGUUAGGGUAUGUUGUUGACUCCUCACAAACAGGACAUGCUCAUGAUGUAGCAUCAACGAAUCC